UUUGUCUUUAUAAGAAGAGGAAGAUCGACCAGAGCUCUCUCUCUCUUCUCUAGGCAUGUGCUCUGAGAAAAGGUCAUCUGAGGACAAAGUACCCGUCUGCAAGCCAGGAAGAGAGUCCUCGCCAGAAACUAAACCCCGCUGGAAACUUGAUUUUGCGCUUUCCAGCCUCUAGAACUAAUACGUGAAAAACAUUUAAAUCAGAAAGUAAAUAACAGGAUGAUUUGCAAGACACAGAGAUGUAAAAUUAAAAAGCCUCUCGAGCUCCAAAGAAGCAGAUUCUGCUUUGCUCUAUUUGUGAAAGACAACUGGAUGAGUAAAGAUUACUACUUGCAAUGAGACUAGCAAUUUAUCCGGAAUUGGAGACAGAGAAAACAGCAUCUUCUUUUCACUCAUUCUGACUCAAAAUGGGUGUAGCUCAUCAGAGUACAUCAUUACAUUUUCAGGACUUUUGCUACCUGGCUCACAUCACUUUGGUAGCUUGAACUCUGCCAUGAUUGGGAAUAUUUACACCACAAAAAUGGGCUAAUCUCCUAGGAAUGGAUUCUAGGACAGCAUCAGCAU
RNAcentral lists this long non-coding RNA (561 nucleotides) under Pongo abelii (Sumatran orangutan). RNAcentral describes it as "lincRNA". The record is from RNAcentral. Lineage: Eukaryota; Metazoa; Chordata; Mammalia; Primates; Hominidae.